GGACAUUUGAGAGACGACAAGCACAUUAUUGAGUAUAAGCACGUUUGGCUGGCGGCGCGAUGCUGUGAUCGACGCAUCGGUGGACGCUCGACUGGAAUCUACGCUUCCGAAAUUGCCUACUGGAACUGUACCUGGUUCCCGACUGCCAUUGAAACUAAUUGUCAAGAACACCUCAAGUGGUUGCCCGCUGAACCUGUGCCGCUCCUCGUUCAAGAUAAGCUUAAGGUCGGCUGGAGAACAAGAGCUCCGCUUCCAACAAAGGCGAAAGAUCGUCAAAAGCAUUCCAUACACUCGAUGCCACCAGUGGACACGAAGUCGACGCUGGCACGGCGGUGUCCCCACGGUGUUCCACGACGGCUUCCUGGAGCUCCCUUGUCACAAGGUUUUUCAGCCAGAUCAUCUGACCAGAUGCCUGAUGAACUGUGGCCAUAAAGCGCGGAUCAAGAAACAUGCCUAGGCUGGCCACUUCAUCAAAUUUCCACUCCGCACAAAGAGCCUUGAUACAUUUUGAAUCAAUGUUAGCAAACCCUGAGUUGCCUUUGCAACCUUCAAGGCAAUGGGGCAUUCCAAAAAUAAUUGGAAUUAUAAAGCUUGGUGAAAAAGAAACCGAAACUGAUCAUGUCUCAAAUGCCUGAAGCAGAUAGACUGAAACAGAGCAUACAGAUAAUGGCAACUCAGGGUUGCAAAGGCAACCCUGAGUUGC
This is a non-coding RNA of Dermacentor albipictus, 703 nucleotides long. The record is from RefSeq and is a predicted model, not a curated record. NCBI's taxonomy places the organism in Eukaryota, Metazoa, Arthropoda, Arachnida, Ixodida, Ixodidae.